CCCUUAGAUGUUCUGGGCCGCACGCGCGCUACACUGAUGCAUUCAACGAGUCUAAAACCUGGUCUGAUAGGGCUGGGUAAUCUUUUGAAUGUGCAUCGUGAUUGGGAUAGAUGGUUGCAAUUCUUCAUCUUCAACGAGGAAUGCCUAGUAAACGCAAGUCAUCAGCUUGCAUUGAUUACGUCCCUGCCCUUUGUACACACCGCCCGUCGCUCCUACCGAUUGAAUGUUCCGAUGAAUACCAUGGACUGAGAGUAUGAAUGGGUUCGCCUAUUUCUGCUUCUCGGGAAGUGGAGUAAAUCUUAACAUUUAGAGGAAGGAGAAGUCGUAACA
This 330-nucleotide ribosomal RNA is filed under the name uncultured eukaryote. RNAcentral describes it as "partial 18S ribosomal RNA". It matches the Rfam family "Eukaryotic small subunit ribosomal RNA", at positions 1470 to 1796 of the family's 1831-position model. The record is from RNAcentral.